Molecule: unclassified non-coding RNA, 866 nt
Filed under: Hevea brasiliensis (rubber tree)
Lineage: Eukaryota; Viridiplantae; Streptophyta; Magnoliopsida; Malpighiales; Euphorbiaceae
Source: RNAcentral
GUUUUGACAUGCUUGAGGAUUACCUUGCAUUCUUUGAUGCAGACGAUAACUUCCAAAGUAUGGGUUUCAAUCCACCAAUGAUGACCGGAGAUGAUGAUCAUGUGUCUGACUUAGCAUCUGUGGAGGAGAAGAAUAUUGCCGAGGUAAAUGACCAACCUAUUGCACCAAGUGAAGAGCCUGAUGAUCAAAAGAAGAAUGUUGCAUCAUCCUCGAAACUGGAACCAUCUAAAUUUGGAUCAGAUUACAAGUAUCCAUUUAUGAAGCAGACAAGCUGUAUGUUGGGCGGUAUUCCUGCUCCUCCUGCAUUUGCUUCGGAGUUCCCUUCAAAAAAUGCAGCUCUCCGUAUGAAUUCUUCCUCAGAAGCAUCCAGUUCAAUCCACGUCACUGGAUUUAUUCGAAUAACAAACAUGACUGUGAGCAGCAAUGGGAUGGACGGGUUGGUGGGCAAGCAUGGGAAUUACAACGUUAUCCUAUCUUUAGGCUUAUCACAGCAUGGUGAUAGCUCCGCUCACUUGGAAUCAGAAGCUAGUUUUCUCCCUGGGAAGACAAUUUCGACAGUGUCCUGGUGCUGGUUCUAUUAUCUGUUCCUUUGGGUCCUCCUUCUUUCCACAACCUUCAAAAUCGGGACCUUCAUUCGUGCUGCGUAAGGCCUCAAGAAUCUAGAGAGCUCAAUUUUUACUUUUGAAAGUCAUGGCAGGAUAUCUUGAUCUCUGACUGAAGUGAACAUUAUUAUAUAUGAUACACAACCUAUACCAGGAAUAUUUAGUGUCUUAGACAUUCAAGUGAGUUGAUGCAGUUUCUGACUCCUGAACAAAUUUUAAAAUUCAAUGAUGUAUCACAGUGCAGCUUGGAUGCUGCAAAACUCA